This 21-nucleotide non-coding RNA is filed under the name Arabidopsis thaliana (thale cress). The record is from RNAcentral. Lineage: Eukaryota; Viridiplantae; Streptophyta; Magnoliopsida; Brassicales; Brassicaceae.
CCGUGCCGCUAAAGCCACUGC